AUUGAACGCUGGCGGCAUGCCUUACACAUGCAAGUCGAACGGUAACGGGCCUUCGGGUGCCGACGAGUGGCGAACGGGUGAGUAAAGUAUCGGAACGUGCCAUUUAGUGGGGGAUAACGUAGCGAAAGUUACGCUAAUACCGCAUAUUCUGUGAGCAGGAAAGCGGGGGAUCGCAAGACCUCGCGCUAGAGGAGCGGCCGAUAUCAGAUUAGCUAGUUGGUGGGGUAAAGGCCUACCAAGGCUACGAUCUGUAGCGGGUCUGAGAGGAUGAUCAGCCACAGUGGGACUGAGACACGGCCCAGACUCCUACGGGAGGCAGCAGUGGGGAAUUUUGGACAAUGGGGGCAAGCCUGAUCCAGCCAUGCCGCGUGAGUGAAGAAGGCCUUCGGGUUGUAAAGCUCUUUCGGACAGAAAGAAAUCGCAUGGGCUAAUACCCUGUGUGGAUGACGGUACUGUAAGAAGAAGCACCGGCUAACUACGUGCCAGCAGCCGCGGUAA
RNAcentral lists this ribosomal RNA (498 nucleotides) under uncultured bacterium. RNAcentral's name for it is "partial 16S ribosomal RNA". It matches the Rfam family "Bacterial small subunit ribosomal RNA", at positions 30 to 523 of the family's 1533-position model. The record is from RNAcentral.